UACGGGGGGGGCAAGCGUUGUUCGGAAUUACUGGGCGUAAAGGGCUCGUAGGCGGCCCGGUAAGUCAGACGUGAAAUCCCUCGGCUUAACCGGGGAACUGCGUCUGAUACUGGAUGGCUUGAGUUUGGGAGAGGGAUGCGGAAUUCCAGGUGUAGCGGUGAAAUGCGUAGAUAUCUGGAGGAACACCGGUGGCGAAGGCGGCAUCCUGGGCCAGCACUGACGCUGAGGAGCGAAAGCCAGGGGAGCAAACGGG
RNAcentral lists this ribosomal RNA (253 nucleotides) under uncultured bacterium. RNAcentral describes it as "partial 16S ribosomal RNA". It matches the Rfam family "Bacterial small subunit ribosomal RNA", at positions 524 to 776 of the family's 1533-position model. The record is from RNAcentral.